RNAcentral lists this ribosomal RNA (406 nucleotides) under uncultured bacterium. RNAcentral describes it as "partial 16S ribosomal RNA". It matches the Rfam family "Bacterial small subunit ribosomal RNA", at positions 29 to 526 of the family's 1533-position model. The record is from RNAcentral.
AUUGAACGCUGGCGGCAGGCUUAACACAUGCAAGUCGAGCGAGAGGCGGACGGGUGAGUAAUGUCUGGGAAACUGCCUGAUGGAGGGGGAUAAAUACGGGAAACGGUAGCUAAUACCGCAUACCAUCAGAUGUGCCCCGAUGGGAUUGGCUAGUAGGUGGGGUAAUGGCUCACCUGGGCGACGAUCCCUAGCUGGUCUGAGAGGAUGACCGGCCACACGGGAACUGAGACAGGGUCCAGACGCCUACGGGAGGCAGCAGUGGGGAAUAUUGCACAAUGGGCGAAAGCCUGAUGCAGCCAGGCAGCGUGUGUGAAGAAGGCCUUCGGUUUGGAAAGCACUUGCAGCGAGGAGGCGGUACUCGCAGAAGAAGCACCGGCUAACUACGUGCCAGCAGCCGCGGUAAUUC